Gadus chalcogrammus (walleye pollock) is the source of this 293-nucleotide long non-coding RNA. RefSeq lists it as uncharacterized. NCBI's taxonomy places the organism in Eukaryota, Metazoa, Chordata, Actinopteri, Gadiformes, Gadidae. The transcript has 3 exons. The record is from RefSeq and is a predicted model, not a curated record.
UAACUGUUUAGCCAUAGGGUGGAUUCCAAGAAUGUUACACACCAUCGGUAAAGCUCGGCGCAGCUUUUGUACAAUUUUCUGAGAAGGACCCGUUUCGGUUCGUUAACGUUAGCAGGCUAGCGAGGUGUGAAAAUUGACUGUCAUGACUGGAGCUGAGGUUGAGGAUGAUAUCCCGUUAGGUGAAAGGAAGACGGUCACAGAUUUCUGCUAUCUUUUGGACAAGUCCAAACAGCUCUUCAAUGGACUUAGGGAUCUUCCGCAAUACGGCCACAAACAAUGGCAGUCCUACUUCG